CGGACAUUAAAACUUUCGGUGUGUCGUUAAAAUGCGGCUAGUGGCUUGGACGCUUUAUACAUGUAACUGGGGAAAAUUAAAAUCAAGUAAAAAAUAAUCAAAUUAAGUAACACAUAGCUGUGUCAAGGUAAGCAGAUCGCAAAUCAUACAAAUGAUUGGUUGACUGCUGGCUGUCGAAAAAGCGAGAACGAACAAUUCCGAUAAGAAACAUCCGAGUUAAAGCACCGGAAUAGAACUCCGUAUAGUCACUGACCGAAAAUCGCUCGCCUCAAGCUAUUUGCGAAAUUGUCAACCGCACGAAACGAAAGUAAAGUUUGAUAUGAUGCUCUCGACUCGCCUCCAAUUGUAUUUUCGCGAAAAUAAAAUUGCACAAUCCAUGUAGAAUGAGAAUAAUGUAUCAACAACAAGAUACUUAUUAAAUAUUGUUGGUAGAUCGGAGUCGAUUAAAAAGCAAUAAUAUUUUAUAACACAAUUUUGUAAUGAUUAGUUUAAAUAUAGUGUUUACUAACUCCUGAUAUUUGCAAA
Molecule: long non-coding RNA, 525 nt
Organism: Drosophila ananassae
Lineage: Eukaryota; Metazoa; Arthropoda; Insecta; Diptera; Drosophilidae
Exons: 2
Source: RefSeq, a predicted model, not a curated record